UACAGAGGUGGCAAGCGUUGUUCGGAAUUACUGGGCGUAAAGGGCGCGUAGGCGGCCACGACAAGUCACUUGUGAAAUCUCCGGGCUUAACUCGGAACGGUCAAGUGAUACUGUCGGGCUAGAGUGCGGAAGGGGCAACUGGAAUUCUCGGUGUAGCGGUGAAAUGCGUAGAUAUCGAGAGGAACACCAAUGGCGAAGGCAGCUCUCUGGGACGGUACUGACGCUGAGACGCGAAAGCGUGGGGAGCGAACAGG
RNAcentral lists this ribosomal RNA (254 nucleotides) under uncultured bacterium. RNAcentral's name for it is "partial 16S ribosomal RNA". It matches the Rfam family "Bacterial small subunit ribosomal RNA", at positions 524 to 776 of the family's 1533-position model. The record is from RNAcentral.